AUUGAACGCUGGCGGCAUGCCUUACACAUGCAAGUCGAACGGCAGCACGGGUGCUUGCUCCUGGUGGCGAGUGGCGAACGGGUGAGUAAUACAUCGGAACAUGUCCUGUAGUGGGGGAUAGCCCGGCGAAAGCCGGAUUAAUACCGCAUACGAUCUACGGAUGAAAGCGGGGGACCUUCGGGCCUCGCGCUAUAGGGUUGGCCGAUGGCUGAUUAGCUAGUUGGUGGGGUAAAGGCCUACCAAGGCGACGAUCAGUAGCUGGUCUGAGAGGCCGACCAGCCACACUGGGACUGAGACACGGCCCAGACUCCUACGGGAGGCAGCAGUGGGGAAUUUUGGACAAUGGGCGAAAGCCUGAUCCAGCAAUGCCGCGUGUGUGAAGAAGGCCUUCGGGUUGUAAAGCACUUUUGUCCGGAAAGAAAUCCUUGGCCCUAAUACGGUCGGGGGAUGACGGUACCGGAAGAAUAAGCACCGGCUACCUACGUG
Molecule: ribosomal RNA, 486 nt
Filed under: uncultured bacterium
Lineage: Bacteria
Description: partial 16S ribosomal RNA
Rfam family: Bacterial small subunit ribosomal RNA
Source: RNAcentral